RNAcentral lists this transfer RNA (47 nucleotides) under Ichthyosaura alpestris inexpectatus. RNAcentral describes it as "partial tRNA-Leu". RNAcentral also lists the same sequence under 1 other name. Lineage: Eukaryota; Metazoa; Chordata; Amphibia; Caudata; Salamandridae. The record is from RNAcentral.
UUUUAAAGGAUAAUAGUAAUCCAUUGGUUUUAGGAGCCAAAUACUCC